RNAcentral lists this ribosomal RNA (514 nucleotides) under uncultured bacterium. Its description in RNAcentral is "partial 16S ribosomal RNA". It matches the Rfam family "Bacterial small subunit ribosomal RNA", at positions 28 to 523 of the family's 1533-position model. The record is from RNAcentral.
GAUGAACGCUGGCGGCGUGCCUAAUACAUGCAAGUCGAGCGAACAGAUGAGAAGCUUGCUUCUCUGAUGUUAGCGGCGGACGGGUGAGUAACACGUGGGUAACCUACCUAUAAGACUGGGAUAACUCCGGGAAACCGGGGCUAAUACCGGAUAAUAUUUUGAACCGCAUGGUUCAAUAGUGAAAGACGGUUUCGGCUGUCACUUAUAGAUGGACACGCUCCGUAUUAGCUAGUUGGUAAGGUAACGGCUUACCAAGGCGACGAUACGUAGCCGACCUGAGAGGGUGAUCGGCCACACUGGAACUGAGACACGGUCCAGACUCCUACGGGAGGCAGCAGUAGGGAAUCUUCCGCAAUGGGCGAAAGCCUGACGGAGCAACGCCGCGUGAGUGAUGAAGGUCUUCGGAUCGUAAAACUCUGUUGUUAGGGAAGAACAAAUUUGUUAGUAACUGAACAAGUCUUGACGGUACCUAACCAGAAAGCCACGGCUAACUACGUGCCAGCCGCCGCAGUAA